GAUGAACGCUGGCGGUAUGCCUAACACAUGCAAGUCGUACGAGAGUUUUUAACUCUAGUGGCGGACGGGUGAGUAACACGUGAGAAUUUGCCUUUAGGAGGGGGAUAACAAUUGGAAACGAAUGCUAAUACCCCAUAUGCUUUUGAGUGAAAUGGAUUUUAUCCGCCUAGAGAUGGGCACGCGCAAGAUUAGCUAGUUGGUGAGGUAACGGCUCACCAAGGCAAUGAUCUUUAGGGGGCCUGAGAGGGUGAUCCCCCACACUGGUACUGAGACACGGUCCAGACUCCUACGGGAGGCAGCAGUGGGGAAUAUUGCACAAUGGGGGAAACCCUGAUGCAGCCAUGCCGCGUGUGUGAAGAAGGCCUUCGGGUUGUAAAGCACUUUCAGUGGGGAGGAAGGGGUGAUGCCUAAUACGCAUCAUCAUUGACGUUACCCACAGAAGAAGCACCGGCUAACUCCGUG
Molecule: ribosomal RNA, 462 nt
Filed under: uncultured bacterium
Lineage: Bacteria
Description: bacterial SSU rRNA
Rfam family: Bacterial small subunit ribosomal RNA
Source: RNAcentral